RNAcentral lists this ribosomal RNA (864 nucleotides) under Triticum aestivum (bread wheat). RNAcentral describes it as "partial small subunit ribosomal RNA". Lineage: Eukaryota; Viridiplantae; Streptophyta; Magnoliopsida; Poales; Poaceae. The record is from RNAcentral.
AUGCUCAAAGAUUGCCGCCUUGUCGAGACACCGGAGCUGGUCGGUGUGGCAGAGCAGCCUCUUCUUGCCGUCGUUCUCCUCGUACAGCUCGCCGGCGUCGGCUGGCAGCUGAAGGCGCCGCUUCAUGACCGCAGCCACAGCAACCCGCAGCAGAGGCGUGAGGGGGCUGCCCUGCGGCACCCUGUACCGGUAGGUCCGCCACCCCGCGAGGUAGACGACGAGGGAGCAGCCCAUGACGGCGGCGAGGAGCACGGUGGCGGCGCCCCAUCCGACCCGCUCCUGGAUGUAGACGACGACGGUGACCCCAAGCAGCACCCCCGAGCAGAGCGCGCAGUUCCACCAGUUGAAGUAGGACAUCUUCUGAAGCCGCUCGCCGGCGUGGCCGUCGUCGAACUGGUCAGCGCCGAAGCUCUCGAGCGCCGGCUUGUGGCCGCCGGUGCCGACGGACACGAGGUAGAUCCCGACGAAGAAGAGCGUCUCGUGAACCCGCGGCACAGAGACACCGCCAGGCCUCAGUCCCGGCGCCAGCUGCGCCACCGCGAGCAGGACGAGGCCGAGGAGGUAUACGACGGUGGAGAGGAGCACGGUGCGGAAGCGGCCGAGGUAGGCGUCGGCGAGGAAGCCGCCGAGGAGCGGCAUGAGGGUGGUGACGCUCAUCCAGUACUGGGAGUUCACGGCGGCGACCUUCAUGUCCUGGUGCAGCACCUUGGUGAGGUAGAUCAUGAGGCUCGUGGCGAUGCCGAAGUAGCUCAGCCGCUCGCUGAACUCGAUCACUGCCAAAUCCAUACAACAAGAACUGCCAUCAACCAAACGAACAGAGACAGAGACAAAGACAAAGACAGAGAGAUCUGGCAGGCAGUUUGA